Molecule: ribosomal RNA, 254 nt
Filed under: uncultured prokaryote
Description: partial 16S ribosomal RNA
Rfam family: Bacterial small subunit ribosomal RNA
Source: RNAcentral
ACGUAGGGUCCAAGCGUUAUCCGGAAUUACUGGGCGUAAAGCGUACGUAGGCGGCGCGUUAAGUGCAACGCGAAAUCUUGCGGCUCAACCGUAUAGACUGUGUUGCAUACUGGCGUGCUUGAGGAUGGCAGAGGCAAGUGGAAUUUGUAGUGUAGCAGUGAAAUGCGUAGAUAUUACAAGGAACACCAAUGGCGAAGGCAGCUUGCUGGGCCAUUUCUGACGCUGAGGUACGAAAGCGUGGGGAGCGAACAGGA